ACGCUCGACACCUACGGGAGGCAGCAGUGGGGAAUAUUGCGCAAUGGGGGCAACCCUGACGCAGCAACGCCGCGUGAGCGAUGAAGGUUUUCGGAUCGUAAAGCUCUGUUCUGAGGGAAGAUAGUGACGGUACCUCAGGAGAAAGCCCCGGCUAACUACGUGCCAGUAGCCGCGGUAAUCUGAGCGGGCUGGCAAGGC
Molecule: ribosomal RNA, 198 nt
Filed under: uncultured bacterium
Lineage: Bacteria
Description: partial 16S ribosomal RNA
Rfam family: Bacterial small subunit ribosomal RNA
Source: RNAcentral